Molecule: non-coding RNA, 805 nt
Organism: Procambarus clarkii (red swamp crayfish)
Lineage: Eukaryota; Metazoa; Arthropoda; Malacostraca; Decapoda; Cambaridae
Source: RefSeq, a predicted model, not a curated record
AGAUUGUUUUAAUUCAAGACUGAAAUACAUAACUGGAGAGGCAACAUGUCGUCCUCUGAAGGUUCGAUAGUUACUGCUAAAGAGACCUUCCAGAUAUUGAUGGAAAUGUCUAAACUUUUAAAUACAGAAUGGAUUGUAGGAACGUCAAGAGAAAACGAUGUGGCGUUGGAGUGUGUAUGGGGUACACUACUGCAAACAGGAUGGAUAUAGGCUCCACAACAAUACAAAUUUUUAUUCAGGAUAUGGUUGAGACGUCUACAGCCCUACGUCGUCCGGUCCAAAGGGAGCAGACAGAAGAAGCAGGUUGUGGCCUGUGUGGAAUAAUAUGUAUUUAUACAAUACAAGAUGGAGUAUUUGAUGGUGCCCGGAUCGACCCCAAGAGGUUGCUAGGAGCUCCAAAAUGCACAUCUGCCAUGAUAUUAAUAAAACUGUAGAAACAUAUAGGACAAAUAAUAAUACAAAAUCAAUCUUCAUUGGGGUUACAAUGGGAGCUGUCUUCUCUUAAGCAGGGCAAUGGGGACGAUCCAAGCCCUCUUAUGACAGUCAUUAAACCCCCACCAUUCAACAUGUAAAGUUGGCUGAGGCUAACCCUAAACAUCUGGCCUCAGACAUAAUGUAAAAAUUUUAUAAAUUAUAUACUUUGUGCGCUUCAGGAAUUAGGAUUAUGGAAUCGGCCUCUCGGGCCUGACAGCUGAGUGGACAGUGCUCGGGAUUCGUAGUCCUAAGGUUCCGGGUUCGAUCCCCGGUGAAGGCGGAAACAGAUAAGCAUAGUUUCUUUCACCCUGAUGAACCUGUUUACCUAGCA